Molecule: transfer RNA, 71 nt
Filed under: Stegodyphus mimosarum
Lineage: Eukaryota; Metazoa; Arthropoda; Arachnida; Araneae; Eresidae
Rfam family: tRNA
About the family: Transfer RNA (tRNA) molecules are approximately 80 nucleotides in length. Their secondary structure includes four short double-helical elements and three loops (D, anti-codon, and T loops).
Source: Rfam by way of RNAcentral
GGACUCGUGGUAUAAUGGUAGCACACUUAACACGUAUUCGAGAGACCCAGGUUCGAAUCCCGGCGAGGCCA